UACGUAGGGGGCUAGCGUUGUCCGGAAUCGUUGGGCGUAAAGAGCGUGUAGGCGGCCCGGUAAGUCCGCUGUAAAAGUCAAAGGCUCAACCUUUAAAUGUCAGUGGAUACUGUCGGGCUCGAGUCCGGAAGAGGCGAGUGGAAUUCCUGGUGUAGCGGUGAAAUGCGCAGAUAUCAGGAGGAACACCAAUGGCGAAGGCAGCUCGCUGGGACGUGACUGACGCUGAGACGCGAAAGCGUGGGGAGCAAACAGG
This 253-nucleotide ribosomal RNA is filed under the name uncultured bacterium. RNAcentral's name for it is "partial 16S ribosomal RNA". It matches the Rfam family "Bacterial small subunit ribosomal RNA", at positions 524 to 776 of the family's 1533-position model. The record is from RNAcentral.